Molecule: long non-coding RNA, 171 nt
Organism: Candoia aspera
Lineage: Eukaryota; Metazoa; Chordata; Lepidosauria; Squamata; Candoiidae
Exons: 2
Source: RefSeq, a predicted model, not a curated record
CCCCCAAUGUUUCUAGUUGAGUAAGGAUUGCCUUACAAUCUCUAGUUGAUACCUAGUGGAGAAGGUUACAGCAAUCUCUCUCUGUUCUCAGCAUCCUCCUUUGCACUUACUUCCUACCCUUUUACUGUAUUUCAGCAUUGGCUGCCUGGCACCUGCAGGGAACUGGCUUUG